GGUGGGUAACUUCCGCCAGACUUUUCUGGAGAUGGCUAAUCCAGCCGUGGGAUGUGGUUUCUUCUAACAGCCAGUCAGGAAAAUCUUGCUUCUCAAACUCCUGUCUUGACCCCUUCCUGAACUUUGCCUCCUGGAUCUUGAGGUCUGCCUUCUGUGGAAGAGAAAUACUAGAAUCAAUGAACUGUGAACUAGAGCCCUGGGAUUAUCAACAGCCAGCUGAAAUUUUGAGAGCCACCUUAUAGAAAGCCUAACAGCAAAGACUGGAGAGAGGCUUCCAGCCAACAGCCAGCAAGGAAUUGAAGCCCUCAGUCCAAUAGCAGUGAGGAAUUGAAUCCUGCCAACAGCCUCGUGGAUGGGUUGCUUGCUGCCUGAAUCUAACUCCUGCUACUACUGCAAAUACCACUGCCAUGAAUAUCCUCAGCAAGACCCCCUUCCAGACCUGCAUGAACAGUUGUGUGAAAUGUAUAUGCACAAAGGGACUGCAAGGGAAGACCCAGAGACUAGGGAAGAACUUGGAACAAUAAUCUCAGUUUCUUCAAUUCCUAAACUUGAGAGUAUUGCUGUUUUUAAAUGAAAGUAUUUUUUCCCCCUAAGCAUUUUGUUCUAAAGUUGAGCUGCCUUUGAGGGGAAAUAAAGAGACUACCAGAUUAAUGGGUUUUUUUCAAAUGGGAUGGUGGGGUAAGGAAUAAUCGGGGUGGUCUGUGGAACAACUUGGAGGAUUGGUGUUAUGUCUCAAGAAGAUAUUCAAGUAUGUUCCUCCUUUUUUACCCAGACCGACUGCUUCAUGCUGGGCUUCAGACAUGAGAGGCUAGGAGUAGGAGGCAUGCCUUGUUCAAAGGUCUUAAAUGUGGGAAAUAGUCUACAGUUUGGAAGACACCAGAGAAAAAUGCUCCACAGCUCGCCCUGGUGACUCACUACAACUUAUGGGAAGAUGUGAGAUUAUUCUGUAUUCUAAUGUAUGUUAGAAGGCACACUCCACCCAAAGCCUUCCUGUGUGUUCCUCCCUGUGAGCUCACAUCCCGUUCACCAGCUGACUGGGAAGGGAAGUCAGGACCAGCCCUGACCCCAUCACACCAUCAUAACCUCGGGAUGGCAGGGCUGGAAGGCACCUCAGACGUCAUCCUUUGCAGACUCUUCAUUUUACAGUGAGAGGCAUGACGUGUCCACAGCUGGUUAGUGCCAAAGCCUGGGACAGGCUUCACAUUGUCCAGCUCUUAGUCAGAGCACUGUUGACAAUGUCUGCCUUCACUUGGAAUUCAGCACCUGCUUUCAGUAUAAACCCCUGCAUUUCACUAAAACUGAGCAGACUGCUGGUUUAAAAAAGAGAGGUCCAUCCAGCAGGGAUGAUGCUUUUCCUCGUUGAAAGAGGACAUUCACCUAAUGGGAGACCUGGAGUCAGAAUCUUUCUGAUGUGUGACUUGGCACAGUAACACAAUGCAGGAUGCUGGUGUGUUAAUAAAAAUAAAAAUUGCAUCGCCUACCUCAGAGUCGACAACAAUGUCAAGGAGUUAAUAGUCUUGGCAACACAGAGGCCACUGGACAGAGGCAUAACCUUGCGUGGCAGCUGCACGGGAAUUGGAUUUGGCUCAGGUGUUUCAGAUGACUAAGAACAAAGGGGACCACUCUUGGUAUAGAAGUUCAUCUCGUCGGGAGCAUCUGUGGUUCUUUUAUAAGCAAUGUACAUUCUACAAUAGAGGCAGACCCAGAAAUAAUUCAGAUAUUGGAGUUAGAAGAUCAGGAUUCUAAAAAAACCAAAAGAUCCUGCCUUACUAUGCACCUAUGGCCCUUCAAAGGCGAGAGUAGAAUCUGCUAUGAUUUAGAAGCAAGCAAUAAAAAGUACACAUCAGAAUUGGAGCCUGCACAGAUGUAGAAGGAGGCAUGAAGAGGGUAUUGGAGGAUUGCCCACUAUGCAGUCUGCAUCCUGAGUCUGUGGUGAGGCUGGACACGUUCAAGCUUACAGGAGAACUGGAGAAAGCAAGCAACACAGCGGUGGAAGUGAGACCACUGAAGGUAAGCUUGGGAGGGGGUCCCGACACCACCACAUCAGUGGAUCCACAGCUAAGUGAUUGGUGGUGGCCUGGGGUUCUGCUGUUUAGCAGGGACAAGAGUGGAGGAGACAAACUGGACUCGGAACAAACUGGGAGCCUCUGCAUCCAUCCGUAACUGUCUGGCCGUGACAGUGGUUAGAGAGGAGUGGCUUCUGUGAAACUCUCACAAUCUCAAAUCUCCCACAAGUGCCUCUUUCAGCUAACUCUAAACUGGUACCAUAGAGGAAAUGGAUUCUGAAAACUUGGUCUCCAACCUUAGACAAAUUGAAUAAUUAAUAUGUCCUCUCCUGCUUCUUCUGUAACUGAAUUUGCAUUGGGAAGCAGGCCUGUCACUCUCAGACUUUGUGGUUUGAGUAGGGCUCACUUCAGCACCACCUUUUCCUCUUCUCAGCCCCACGGACUGGCAUGAGACUCAGGCCUGGCCAACUGAAUGUCACACACCUAUGACCAUCAGUUGGCUCAGAGAUGGACUCAGGACACCAUCACAGCCAAUGAAACCCUGUUAGGGAAAUUUGUCAGAACCAUACAAAGAAAUAGCUCCACUUUUCCAUAGAGAUGAGACAUAAGCCUGGACUAACUGGUGUCCAAUUUGCCAUCAAGAGAGCAUCUGAGAAGACAGAGGAAAACUGGGGAAAGCGAAGUCUAAGGAAGGUGAGUAAGGACAAGUCCAGUUGAUAUUACAUGAAUCACCUGGACCUGGAAAUCAAGGCAUUGCUGGAUUCAAGGCCAAGAAAAAUUGGAAGCUGGCUUGAAUCAGGUUCUAUCACUUGCAGUUGAAAAGGUCCAGACUAAUAUGAUAACAAAGGAGCAAGUAAGCAAGAUUCUGCCCUACAGUAAGUGCUCAAUGCAUGUCAGCUGGUAUUAUUAUUAUACAGACUUCUAUUUCUAGCCCUUUUAUUUCUACCACCUCUCUUCUGUGUUUUAUGUAAAGUGCAUAAGGAUUGUUCUGUUUGGAAACAUCAAACCAUAUAAAAUGACACCAGCAGGUCCCUUUCUGUCUGUCAGUGUCCACAAGCUCAACAACCAGGAUCAGCAGACAAAAACAGCUAAGCUGGAGUCAGUGUUUUUAUGAAGAAACAGGAAAAGAACUUACUUGGGAACUGUAGCUCAUCCUCCAAUAUUCUCCAUCCUAUCACUCUUUUCAUGACAGUUUCUUCUUGGCCCUGAAGUUGCCUUGUCAUGGCUCCCUGCCUCUGUCCUUUCUCUGUCUCACUUACAUCUUCCAAUGAGGAAUACAGCAAGACCUUUGGAUGAGGACCUCCAAAGGUCCUCAGUAUCCUUAGGACACUCGGUGCAGAACUAGAGGGACUGAGAGGAGGAGCUUUUGCAGGUUAAAUGACUAGUGAAUGGCCUUUCCUUAUAUUUCCAUUAGAAAUGGGAUUAGCUACACCUGAGAAGGAAUGACUUUGGAACAACUGAUCCCUAGCUUUCCAAAAUAUGAGAAAUUGAGAUGCAGGGAGUAGUAAGCACCUAGUUAAUGAGUCAAAGCAUAUUUAUAAAGUUCACAGGGUACAUAGCAUAUAGCAGCUGUUCUCUAUCUCAGUUGAGUUUUGACUAGGAAAUGGGCUUAGGAUAAAACACAUAGGCUUUUGAGUAAUCAUUUGUAAGAAAUUGUAGAUAGUGACCACAGUUUAAUAGCAUUAGAUAAAUUAUGAAAAGUCACUGAAAUACCUUCUCUGGAAAAUGUUAGAAGCUCAAGUACAAUGGCUUAGUUAAAGGCAGGUGGGGGAGAAACUUGAAGAAUGUGGUCCAGUACAAGAAUACCCCAUUUUUCCCCUAAGGCAAUGAAAAUGACAUGAAGUAAUCAUAGUUAUUUAUACAGGAACAAUUUAGGAGACUUAGAAUAUUCACUUCUUUUGCCUUCUAGCUGAGCAUCAAAAUUCUCUCUCUGUCUCUGCCUCUCUCUCUCUAUUUUCCACUUCUAGCUCCAACUAUUUUAAAUCCCUCCCCCAAUAGAACUCAUAACAAACAUAAAACAACAUUUGUUGUAUGUUUACAAUAGAUGUUCAAGCUAAUAUUUAUGUAGGCUUAGCCCUGGCAUUAAAUUAAGGUUUGGUUCACCAACAGGGUGCCUAGAGACUUCACCUCUAUUUCCAUGAGGGACUGAACAGCCUCUUGAGAAGGGACUCAUCAAAAUGGAAGAGUUGGCAAUAAGAAGUUUGGCUAAAUAACCAAGCACUGAAGUUGCAGAGGAGAAAGGAUUUGAAAGGCAGUACAGUGUCCAGGGGCAAGUUGGCAAUUUUUAGCAGGAGGUGAAGUGAUGCCAGCAGAGGUAACAGUGCUCAGAGGGACCAGUAGUCCCCAGGAGGAGCAGGGGAAUCCCCAGUGGAUCUGAUUUGUUCAAGAGCACAUGUGAGAUUAUCAGCUGGCGUUACAAUUUUGGAGUGGCAGUGAGAAGCAGUGAAUUUGAGGUCACUCAAUUUGCAGACCCCAAAGGGUGAAAUGUUGAGAAACAUGAGUUACACAUGUAUUUAACAGCUCUUGUGUAUUAUCACAAAUCCUAUUUCACCUCUCAUGCCCCCGAGGCUUUGGUGUCCAGUUCUCUGAAGACUUCAUCAAUCCUCAGCCAUAAAUCACCUGAGAGCAACUCACCUUGCUUCAUACUAUGAAGCUCCCUGAUGUCACAGCAUGGCAGGCCUGUGGCAACCCCUCAACACUUAUGCAUGAUCCCAAACAGCUAGAGGAUUAACACCUACGGUGUAACCCUUGACCAGCAGGAAAUGGAAAUUACUGUCUUUUUGUCCCCGCAGGUGAAUGGUUCUAAAAUGCAUUUUAUAAGCCUUCUGAAAUAGUCCCACAGGUCAAGCACCUACUUGCUCCAGUGGUGACCAACUCAAUGAUGCAUCCUUGGGUUGACUCUCCCUCCUUUCCAGUUCACUUUCCCCGCCCCUCACUCCUGCACCUCAGCAUCACAUUCCUGAAUAAACCACUCACACAUCUGUCUUAUUUCAGACUCUGUUUGGGGGAAUCCACAAUAAAAAUUUGUCAUUUUGAGUUAAACAUUGCUCUCACCUUGAAGACAUAUUUCCAUACCUAGAGAUUUCUGAAGUUCUCUCCCUUUUCCUAUCAUCUCCUUUGUGCUUUGUCUGACCUCCAUGUUACAGAGCCCCAUGAUAUUUAGAGCCAGUACUGCUAGGGAAGUAGUUCAGUUGUGUUUUAAAUGGUUCAGCAACUUGUAACAUCAACUGAGAACCAGAGGAAUACACUUGGAGGCCAAGAAAAAAAUGUUAGCUAAUAUGUACCAUACAGUAUGAUUCCUUGGGUAAGGGAAAGUAUAUGCAAGUGACAGAGGAAAAUUGAAAGUUGUAGCCCUUUUUUGGACUUUAGAUUUGGAAUUAAAGUUUCUCUUCUCUUGAAAGACCUUCUUUUUGUGGAUAAUGAUGAAUCUGAAGACCAGAACAGUGGGCCAAUUUGCCUUAGUUGAGAGUGGCAAAUAAAUGAAGAACUGAAGAACGUAUCUCUUUAACUAGUGCUCCUUUGUUGAGAAGAUACAAAACAAACAAUUGAAGGGUAUGGAUGAAGCCAUUGGCUUAUUCAUGUCUCUGUUGAUCAUAAUGAGAUUAAUAUAUAUAGGACAUUCACACAAAGAGGAUAUUGACUCGAUGGCUUACAGAUUAUUAGAGUUAGAAAUGUGACCUACUACUAAAGGAAGAAUGUUUCAGGUGUGGAUCUCUGAUUUAAAAAAUACACCACACUUGCCUCAGUGAAGCAAGUCAACUUAGGUGCUGAUACAAUGCCACUGCAGCUGUGCUGAGUUCAUGAAAUCAGAUCCCACUCUCUUCACCUACCCCUACCGUAUUCAUCCUACUUUCCGUCUGCUCUGCCCUUCCCAUUUGGUAACCUAGUCAUGAAACACCUGGCUCUGGGUCCUUCCUUCAGCAUCACUCCACGUUGUACUGCUGGCAUCGCUUUUCUUGGCACAGAACCUCUUAGGGCUGCUAUCCUAGGAGUAGGUGCUACUCAGGCUGGCUUAGUCCCAGGCUUCACUCACUUCUUGGCCCAUGGCCAGGAGGACCGGAAAGAACAAACUCUCUGCACAUCUCUGCAGGUGGCCACAGAGCCCCCAUCUGAGCCUUGCUGAUGGAGAAGAGCAUGCUGCAUCACAAGAUAACUGUGUGGCUCUGUUCAAAAACCUUGUUUAGAAGUUAUUAUUUCUUUUAUUGCAUUAGAAUUUGCCUCACUGUAGCUUUUGUGCUUCUGUCCUGGUUCAGCCUUAGAUAGCAGUGCAGCCUGGUCCAUGUGAAAGCUCUUGCAAUAGGCCUUUCUGCUAGUCAGGAGUUCUCAGACCCAUCCCUACUCUUCACUUUUCUCAAGACUAAUAUCAGACUCCUGGGCUCUUCAAGGUUUCCUCAUAUGAUAAAAGUUCUAAGCCCUCCAUUGUCCUAGUCACUGUCCUCUCUGUUCCAUCCCUGUCUGCCCUUCCAAGAUGCUGCACCUGGAGAUGAAUUUGUCCUUCCUGGGGCAAGUCACCAUGAGAUGAUUACUUUUGGAUCAUACUGAAUUUGUGGGUUAAAUAAACUCAUAGGUCUUUAUCUCAUGCACUAAAUCCAAAUUCGAUCUCUUGCCGUAAAUCAUUUUUUUGAAUAGCUGAACAAUAAGUAAAUAAUACACAAAUGAAAACUAAUCAAUAUUUGAACAUCCUCAGUAUUUUCAGCCCUAGUUUGAGCCAGACAUAGCUCAUCUUGUAUACUUCACUAAGGACACUUUAUACGAUCAAGCAAUUAAUAUUAUGAUGUCAUGUCUCGCAAGCCCCAUAGUGUCACUUCCAGUCUCUUCACCACAAAGAACGUUGAAGCCUUCGUAUUUUUUUGAAAAUCAUAUUUCUAGCUGCAGGAUGGGAUGUAAGAAAAGUUCAGAUUAGGAUUAUUCUAGGCUCCUGACUAUAACUAAAAUCCUGAUUUUUUAUGGAAAGGAAUGAGGAUCAUUCCUUCAAAUUAGAUUUUUGUGAUAAAAAGAAAAAAGUUGGUAAUCUAUUCAAAAUUGUAACAAAAAUAACUGCAUUUUUCUUUGGAAAAUAAUAGUUGAUUCCUUUUUGCUUUUUUUACUUAUGAAUUGGGGUGCAAUAGAGUUUAAUAAAAAUGAUGUGAAACACUCUUAUAAGGCUAAUUUAUCACAUUUGCUUCAAGGAAUUGUCCUUUCUAACAAAAUUGUGAAAUGGAACUGAACAGUAGCAUGAUGAGGCCUCUACCAGGAGGAGGUACAGAACAAGGCAGGAGGUCAGUGGUUAAAGGACUCCUUGCUUAUGCUCAAGAAAUGUGGACCUUAUUAGAGGUGACACAGUGAAAUCAGUCACCUGAUUUCGCAGGUGACUGUGGAGCAAGAAUGCAAAUCCACAAUAUUAGGAUGAAUGUGAGAGGAGAAGGGAAGGAGGCCAUGAGGGAAAAAAGGACAUCUAAUUGGGUCUGAAAGGAAGGGUAGAAUUUAAGUAAAGAGCACUGUGUACAUAUGGGAAUACCAUGUACUUUCUCAUGGAGAGAGGCCUUCUGACAGUCCUGCAUUGAUCCUGCUUCUUUGACCAUCCCUUGUUAGCCAGCAGGUCAUUUGGCCUCACUAGUUGCCUCAGUGCUGAGUGAUAGACUCAGCAGUCCCCAGCCUCUUUGGCACCAGGGACUGGUUUUGUGGAAGAUAAUUUUUCCAUGGAUCAGGGAGAGGAUGGUUUCAGGAGGAUUUAAGU
This 7722-nucleotide long non-coding RNA is filed under the name Homo sapiens (human). RNAcentral's name for it is "HSALNT0308952". The record is from RNAcentral. Lineage: Eukaryota; Metazoa; Chordata; Mammalia; Primates; Hominidae.